Molecule: ribosomal RNA, 383 nt
Filed under: Prasinohaema virens
Lineage: Eukaryota; Metazoa; Chordata; Lepidosauria; Squamata; Scincidae
Description: partial small subunit ribosomal RNA
Rfam family: Bacterial small subunit ribosomal RNA
Source: RNAcentral
GCUAACCCUAAACACAGAUAUUUUUAUACAACAAUAUCCGCCAGAGAACUACAAGCGAAAAGCUAGAAACUCCAAGGACUUGGCGGUGCUUUAAACCAACCUAGAGGAGCCUGUCCUAUAAUCGAUACCCCACGUUUAACCUUACCCACCCUGGCCAACCAGCCUAUAUACCGCCGUCGUCAGCCUACCUUGUGAAAGAGACAAAGUAGGCAAAACAGUUAAUAACUAACACGUCAGGUCAAGGUGUAGCAAAUGGGUGGGCAGAGAUGGGCUACAUUUUCUAACAAGAAUAUACGAACAACACACUGAAACCCGUGUUUGAAGGUGGAUUUAGUAGUAAAGUAGGAAAGAAAAACUAUCUUGAAACCUGCUCUGAAGCGCGC